UGUAUCUAGGGACAUGAUUUGGAAAGGU
RNAcentral lists this non-coding RNA (28 nucleotides) under Bombyx mori (domestic silkworm). The record is from RNAcentral. Lineage: Eukaryota; Metazoa; Arthropoda; Insecta; Lepidoptera; Bombycidae.